UACAGAGGUCUCAAGCGUUGUUCGGAUUCAUUGGGCGUAAAGGGCGCGUAGGCUGCGGGGCAAGUCGGGUGUGAAAUCUCAGAGCUCAACUCUGAAACUGCACUCGAUACUGCUUUGCUUGAGGACUGGAGAGGAGAGUGGAAUUCACGGUGUAGCAGUGAAAUGCGUAGAUAUCGUGAGGAAGACCAGUGGCGAAGGCGGAUCUCUGGACAGUUCCUGACGCUGAGGCGCGAAGGCCAGGGGAGCAAACGGG
This 253-nucleotide ribosomal RNA is filed under the name uncultured bacterium. RNAcentral describes it as "partial 16S ribosomal RNA". It matches the Rfam family "Bacterial small subunit ribosomal RNA", at positions 524 to 776 of the family's 1533-position model. The record is from RNAcentral.